This 106-nucleotide small RNA is filed under the name Eubacterium sp. CAG:156. Its description in RNAcentral is "Clostridiales-1 RNA". It matches the Rfam family "Clostridiales-1 RNA". Lineage: Bacteria; Bacillati; Bacillota; Clostridia; Eubacteriales; Eubacteriaceae. The record is from Rfam by way of RNAcentral.
UGAUGUCAAGGUCACAAUAUGAGCAAAGAGUGGGAUAAUUCCCACGAUAUGCGAAUAUUGGGUAGGAUUGUGAAAGUGCAUAGCACGGAAUAAUCCAUAGGCAUCA